This 301-nucleotide ribosomal RNA is filed under the name uncultured bacterium. Its description in RNAcentral is "partial 16S ribosomal RNA". It matches the Rfam family "Bacterial small subunit ribosomal RNA", at positions 509 to 807 of the family's 1533-position model. The record is from RNAcentral.
CAGCCGCCGCGGUAAUACGGAGGGAGCUAGCGUUAUUCGGAAUUACUGGGCGUAAAGGGCUCGCAGGCGGUUUCUUAAGUCUGAUGUGAAAGCCCCCGGCUCAACCGGGGAGGGUCAUUGGAAACUGGGAAACUUGAGUGCAGAAGAGGAGAGUGGAAUUCCACGUGUAGCGGUGAAAUGCGUAGAGAUGUGGAGGAACACCAGUGGCGAAGGCGACUCUCUGGUCUGUAACUGACGCUGAGGAGCGAAAGCGUGGGGAGCGAACAGGAUUAGAUACCCGCGUAGUCCCUGUCUCUUAUAC